This 521-nucleotide long non-coding RNA is filed under the name Brassica napus (rape). RNAcentral describes it as "long non-coding RNA (BNAP_LNC018676)". The record is from RNAcentral. Lineage: Eukaryota; Viridiplantae; Streptophyta; Magnoliopsida; Brassicales; Brassicaceae.
UGAGGGAGUAAUGGUUAGCACGUAGUCAUAAGCAAUAUACACUUUAACACGUAUCGUAAAGAGAGAAGCCACUUAAUAUCAAUAUUAAUAAAUUGUUUAAAAGCCUUUUCCGAAGCAAAAUAGUGAUUAUUUAUAAUAAUUUUUUUGAUUAACAUGAAGAUAUUUCGAGUUUAUAGAAAUGAUAUAGACUAAUUUUCAAUUGGAAAUGCAGCUAAAAAAAGUUUUUGAGUAUUAAAUGAUGUCUAAAACAUAGCUUUAUAUCUGUAUGACCAUAAAGUAAAAUAUAAUGGGGCAUCUUCGAACCCGGAUAUCUCUAGUAACUUAUCAAUAUGUAAACUAGCUAAACCACAUGAUAAAAAAUCGAAAGCGUUUAAUUCUUAUAAGUUUUUCUCCGACAAAGCCAAUAUCACAUCCGAGAAAAAUAUUAGAAGAUAAAGUUCUGUUAAAAUAGGGCAAUGUUUUCGUAGUUUAGUUUUAUCAAGUAUUUUAAAUUUUGUCGACUUAAAUAAAAAUUUAAAAAU